RNAcentral lists this ribosomal RNA (758 nucleotides) under uncultured bacterium. Its description in RNAcentral is "bacterial SSU rRNA". It matches the Rfam family "Bacterial small subunit ribosomal RNA", at positions 8 to 796 of the family's 1533-position model. The record is from RNAcentral.
AGAGUUUGAUCAUGGCUCAGAAUCAACGCUGGCGGCGCGCUUAACACAUGCAAGUCGCACGAGAAAGCGGGAGCAAUCUCGCAAGUACAGUGGCGUACGGGUGAGUAACACGUGGGUAAUCUACCUUUUAGUGGGGAAUAACGCUGGGAAACCGGCGCUAAUACCGCAUAAGCUCGAGAGAGGAAAGCAGCAAUGCGCUGAAAGAGGAGCCCGCGGCCGAUUAGCUGGUUGGUAGGGUAAAAGCCUACCAAGGCAAAGAUCGGUAGCCGGCCUGAGAGGGCACACGGCCACACUGGCACUGAAACACGGGCCAGACUCCUACGGGAGGCAGCAGUGGGGAAUCUUGCACAAUGGGGGAAACCCUGAUGCAGCGACGCCGCGUGAGCGAUGAAGCCCUUCGGGGUGUAAAGCUCUUUCGGCAGGGACGAUAAUGACGGUACCUGCAGAAGCAGCUGCGGCUAACUACGUGCCAGCAGCCGCGGUAAUACGUAGGCAGCGAGCGUUGUUCGGAGUUACUGGGCGUAAAGGGUGUGUAGGCGGUUCGCUAAGUUUGGUGUGAAAUCUCCCGGCUCAACCGGGAGGGUGCGCCGAAAACUGGGGGACUAGAGUGCGGGAUGGGAGAGUAGAAUUCCUGGUGUAGCGGUGAAAUGCGUAGAUAUCAGGAGGAAUACCGGUGGUGUAGACGGCUCUCUGGACCGCCACUGACGCUGAGACACGAAAGCGUGGGUAGCAAACAGGAUUAGAUACCCUAGUAGUCC